Small nuclear RNA from Dermacentor albipictus, 192 nucleotides. RefSeq annotates it as U2 spliceosomal RNA. NCBI's taxonomy places the organism in Eukaryota, Metazoa, Arthropoda, Arachnida, Ixodida, Ixodidae. The record is from RefSeq and is a predicted model, not a curated record.
ACAGGGCCGACGCGGGUCGAAGUCUACUAUCUGUUCUUAUCAGCUUAAUAUCUGAUACGGGUUCUAUUUCGACCCACGAUGUUAAACUUACUGUUGCAAGCGGGGGGGGGGGGAGGGAGUGCUUGAAGCCUGCUUCACCUCCGCCGCGGGUCGGCCCGGUAUUGCACUAUCUUCAGGAUUGGCCCACAGUUU